UGUUUGGAGGGUUCACUCCUGUCCCUUCCCAACUCUGGAGCGGUCCCACUCGGCCGUCCUCCCGCUGCGUUUCUAUUAUUUUACUAUUUUAAUAAUUACUGCACACCGCACGGCUUGCCGGAUCUUAGUUCCCUGACCAGGAAUUGAAUCAAGGCCGUGGCAGUGAAAGCGCACGGAGUCCUAACCACUGGACCUCCAGGGAAUUCCCCCCAGCACCUCUUUAGAUGUUUCCUGGCACCUGGUGUCUGUUGAGUGCCCUCUGCCUGGCUUGGUGCUGGUUUCUCUGAGGCUUUAAAAAAGGAGAAUGGGAGUGGGUCUUGCCACAGCUGUGGUCUUCUGACCCUGGUCUCCAGUCUAAGCAGCCCUGUGUUCUUUUCUGCCUCUGGAUUUGAAGUGGUUACAGGCUGCCUGUGUCCUGGUCACUGGUAAUAUGGGCCGAGGAAAAGUUGCAAGAUUUUCCCCAUGUUCAGGGGACCCAUACUUGUCCCUUCCAUACAGGACAGCCUUCAGUGACUAGCAGUGACCAAGCAUGAGGCAGUCUGAGGAUGGAGGGAGUCAGGCUAUAGUGCGUUCAUUGCCUAAGACCCGAAUCCCCCCAACACACAUACCGUGUUUUCCUAUCGAUGAGCAUAAUGGUUUCCUGCCAGUUGGGCAGAUCACGUGAUGGCUUCUUGUCCCCUGCGGGAGUGUCACAUGGCUGCUGUUGCAUGAGACGUGUCGUCAGGGAGAGCCGGGACUGAGUCCCAGCUGGGUCUGUGUGCACAGAGGCUCCACAGGAGGCGUCAUCUUCGUGUCAGCCAGGUGCUAGGCCCUGGGGCCCCAGGAUGUGGUGUGGCAGGAGGACUCUCCCGCCGUGUAGUCAGCCGUCAGCAGCGGGCUGCCCUUCUGCCUUUCUGCGCUGCAGAUGUGUUGGGUGGAGGCCGCAACCCUCCCCCGGCGCCUUCACUUAUUAGACUCUGCAGGGGCAACGUGGUGCUCCCAAGAGGCAUGUCUGGCUCCCAGACAACAGGUCAGCGUUCGAUCUGGAGAUCGUUGAGGAAGUCCCAGGGCCAUGAGUCAGUGACUUUGGGGUGACUUGGGAUCUGGCAUUGCUGGUAUUUCUCCCCAAGACUCCUUUUGGUCGUGGACACCAGCGGGGCAGGGAGUGGAGACUGCAGUCCACACAUGAAGAGCUCCCCGCCGCCUGCUCAGAGUGUCAUGGGAGAACUGUUCACUCAGCACGAGAAAUCAGAGCAAAGCGCUGGGACUGGGGAUUGGGGCCCCCUUCAGCUGGCUCUGGGUCCCGACAGCAGUGCCCUUGGGCGCCAUGGACAGGCAAGGCCGGUCCCCGUCCCUCUGCCAUGCCUGCGUGACUUCAGUGACCAAGAGUUUUUCUCUUGAGUUGGCAGCUGCUCAUCAUCACUUUUCUCUCCACCCGUCCGUUCAAUAAACCAUGGAGGCGUCUACGUGAGGAAGUAUGUCCCAAAGGCUGUGAUGAAAGGCUCUACUUAAUUGUCCAGUUUCUGCAUUUGGAAUUGAAACCACCUUGGCUAAGCUGAGGCAGGAUUCAGGCUGUCAGGCCUGCCUGGUGGCUUUGACACCCUGAAGGUCUGGGGCAGGCAUUCUUCAUGGCUGAGACGUUCUGCCCUGCUAGCCAUUCUUCGUGGCUGAAAUGUUCUGCCCUGCUGGCCAGUUCCUGGUAGAGGCAUCCAGAAGCGGGCAGUCCUUUUUCUGUCUCACUCCAAGGACUGUCCUCUGACUUCUGUUUGCCACCUUUGUGCAGCUGGUUGUAGCUGCCUGGAAAGACGCCAAGAGGAGGAGUCUGGUCCCACUGGAGAUAGCUGUGACUGAGCGUGAUGCUUGCUGCCGUGCAGGAACAGCAGCAGCGGGGCACAGGCCAGUCCUGAACAAGCGUUCCUGGGGACACCGGGCACUGGUCAUCGUGCUAGCCCUGUUCUACUGCAGUGUGCGAAGCAGGAGACAUCCCAGGUCUGUAGGGCCUGAGGAGAUCUGAGGAGAGCAUUCAUCCAGGGUGACCCAGGAAGCAGGCUUAAGGUCAAUAAGGCACAAACCUCGGCUGGGAAACCAGGCCUCACUGGAGCAGCUGGUGGGAGAUUAACCAGACAUCAUACUAGACAUAGGGGUACAAUGGUGAAUAAGACAGUUUGUGCCCUAAAAGGGGUCACCAAUAAAUAUAUAGAUAAUGUCUCCACACACCAAACGUUACAGGACAUGCACUGCUGGGCACUGUAGGUGUUGGGGAUGCAGCUUUAAACAAAACGGGGUGCCUCCUGGAGCUUGCUUAGAACUGCUGUCCAUUAUGGCAAGCCACCAGACACUUGUGGCUCUUUUAAUAAAGCUUAAAAUUCAGGUCUUCAGUUUUAUCAGCCACAUUUCAAGUGCUCAGUAGCCACAAGUAGCUGCGGGGUUGGACAGUGCAGAUACAUAGAAUAUUCCCGUCACUGCAGGAAGUUCAGACAGCGCCAGUCUAGAAAAUAAGGAGUUGAGUUCCAUGAAAGGAGUUGCUGGGACACCUUUACAGAAAGGCUGUCAUUUGAGGAGUCCAAAGAGGGCUGCUGUGCCUGGCGCUGCAUUCCUGUGAUUAUGGGGGGGAGGGGUUGGAUAAAUCGGGGGCAUCAGCCCGGAGGGGGUGUGAGAGCACUGGCUUCCGAGUCACAGACCUGGGGUCUAACCCAGCAGGGUGACAUAAUGUGGGUUUACAUCACCUGACCUCCGUUUCCCCUUGUGAAAUGAGAACCACACCUCCACAGGAAUAUGGUGAGGUAAGGAUUAAACAGACUUGUAUGUGGAAGCCUGUGUAGGGUGUGGCUUCAGAAAGUGUUCAAUAACUGAUGGCUAUUAUUAUUUAUUGAAGUUUUCUCUUCAAUUUUUUUUUUGUCUUUUUUCGGCCUUGAGGCUUUCAGGGUAUAGCCUGUAAUGCUGAAGUUUCCAGGAAAACAAAAAUAGUUCCCCUCCUUUUACAACUUAAGAUAUGUAUAAUGCAAUGGUUAAUAAAUAUCUAGAAACAUAUACCCCCAAAUUAGAGGAUAUAUGCUUUUCUCAAGCACCUACAUUUACAAAUACUUUUUAUGUUCCAGGUUACAAAACAAGUCAAAAAUACCAAAGAAUCAGUUAUACAGAUUACAUUUGUAUCAUACUACAGUAUAAUUAAGGGUAAUAACAACAAAAAUGGGUUUGGAAAAAUCCAUAUAUUUGGAAAAUUUAAAAUGUUUAAAAAUAACUCAUCAAAGAUGAAACCAGAGGGGAAUUAGAAACUACUUAGAACUGAAUGAUAAUGAAAAUUUCUACAUACCAGUACUUGUGAGAUGUAGCUAAAGUAAUUCUGAAGAAGUUUAUGCCUCACGUGCUUAUAUUAGAAGAAAGGCUGAAUAAUUUUUAUUAAUAAGUAAUAAAAAAUAGAAGUAAUGAGGAUAAAAAUUAGAGCAGAAACUAAAGCAGAGGGCAAAAAUACAACAACGAUCAACAUGGCUAAGAGUUGGUUCUUUGAAAAGUCAUGAAACUGAUGAAGAAAAAUAAUUUCAGGAAGGGAGAAGGACAUAGGACAGAACUGGGAUUUAA
Molecule: non-coding RNA, 3558 nt
Organism: Delphinapterus leucas (beluga whale)
Lineage: Eukaryota; Metazoa; Chordata; Mammalia; Artiodactyla; Monodontidae
Source: RefSeq, a predicted model, not a curated record